RNAcentral lists this long non-coding RNA (5657 nucleotides) under Coffea arabica (coffee). Its description in RNAcentral is "long non-coding RNA (CARA_LNC005125)". The record is from RNAcentral. Lineage: Eukaryota; Viridiplantae; Streptophyta; Magnoliopsida; Gentianales; Rubiaceae.
GAGUUGACACGGAACAGCAGUCCCCUUGGACAGCCGAACAGAAUUCAUGUGGGUCGCAUGGCCAGAAAUGACAUCCCCAAUGUUAAUGUCUUGAUAACUAAUUUACUGCAGCUAGCUAACAUUGGUGGGCAUCACUUUCUCAUGACGUACCGUUUGAUUGGCGAGAAGCACUACCGAAUCUUUAGUCAGGGGCUGAAUGUUUAGAGUUUUCCCGAUUUUUAGGACCACAAUUUUCAAGAUUUUAUUUCCAUUGUGUCCAUAAUUUUUCACUACUAGUUCAACUUACAAAAGUUGAGUUCCCAACUUACAAAAGCAAAACUAAAAGUUGGUACAGCUAAACUACAGCAAAAGAUUCCGACAAGACCCGGCCCUUCCUAUUCACUUGCCCAGGUACUCGCCUCUAUAAGGAAAACAAAUCUAAACGGUGAGCUUUCGUCCCAUGAGGUUCUAAGAAAGUCAUGCAACAAUAAUAUCAUAUUCAUGCGACAUAACCAUAGUUCACAACCAUAAUGCAAGUUCACAUUGGGUACUCGACAAUUAAGAAAUUACAUUGCCAUAUAAAAGGAUACGGGGCGUUCAAGAGCAUAUUCAACCAAUUUGAUCAGAAUUCCGCUGACACUCCAUCAACAUUUUUUCCAAAAUACUACUCCCUCUGUCCCGAAAUGAAUGUCGCACUUCGGGUCUUGAGUUUCUUUUCAACAGUAUCGUAUUUAGGUCUAAAUUCUAGCGCUACCCCUUCGGUGCAUUACUCCGUUGAGUGGCAGAAAGAAAAAGCAAGGAUGACAAGAUGUGUGGGACGCAUACUUUACAAAUGUGUCCAGCCAUUUUUUUGAAAAAGUAGCUUGCACGGCCAUUGUUUGCAUUUGCGGUGAGACUCACGCAUAUUAUAUCUCUGGCUAAAUACAGCAGAUUGUGAUCGAUACAAUCUUGAAAUAUGCUAUUAGUUUUUUUUUAACUUCGAAUAGGUUUUAAAAAUUUCAUUCACAGGAUCAACUUUCUCUUCUUUUUACAUAUAGUUUUUUUUUCUCGAAAGAUUCUGAUUCCUGUGUUGUCUUGAAUUGUCAUUGCCUAUUUGAAAUCCCUCUACAAACGAAAAAACUCUUCAUGUUCGACACGCAAAACUAACCCAUACUCCCUCCCUUCUCUUUUCUGCCGACCAAGCCCUUUGUCGCCUGAAAAAGACAACCGCUCCUUCUCCCUAUUUUCUUCCUCCUCCAACUCUUUCAACGAAAACUUGAUGGGAGAUUGGAAUACUAUUUGGAUAAACAUUACUAAUCUGGAGACGAAUGGUCGGUUUCAUUCGUGACUUCAUGAAUUUCAAUACUCCCCACUCGAACUUUAGUGUGGCCAUGUCUUUUUGGCGGAAUGUAUUUUCGGGCAGAAGAGAUGGGAGGCAUGCCGUGGAUGUUUAUUUUUAUGUUGAGAUUCAACCACAGCAAGUGGGAAUCAUGUACCUUACCGGUGACGAAAAAGUUGGUGUUUCGGAUCGAAAACGCAUUGGGAAGACGUCAAGUGGAGAGUAAUAUCAAUGGUGGCAUUUCCUCUGAACUGUUUGUUACGAAUAUGUAGGACGCUACCUCCUCCGGACUUAUUCAGAUAUGCAGUGAUUCGGGCAGAGUUGACACGGAACAGCAGUCCCCUUGGACAGCCGAACAGAAUUCACGUGGGUCGCAUGGCCAGAAAUGACAUCCCCAAAGUUAAUGUCUUGAUAACUAAUUUACUGCAGCUAGCUAACAUUGGUGGGCAUCACUUUCUCAUGACGUACCGUUUGAUUGGCGAGAAGCACUACCGAAUCUUUAGUCAGGGGCUGAAUGUUUAGAUUUUUCUCGAUUUUUAGGACCAGAAUUUUCAAGAUUUUAUUUCCAUUGUGUCCAUAAUUUUUCACUACUAGUUCAACUUACAAAAGUUGAGUUCCCAACUUACAAAAGCAAAACUAAAAGUUGGUACAGCUAAACUACAGCAAAAGAUUCCGACAAGACCCGGCCCUUCCUAUUCACUUGCCCAGGUACUCGCCUCUAUAAGGAAAACAAAUCUAAACGGUGAGCUUUCGUCCCAUGAGGUUCCAAGAAAGUCAUUCAAAAAUAAUAUCAUAUUCUUGCGACAUAACCAUAGUUCACAACCAUAAUGCAAGUUCACAUUGGGUACUCGACAAUUAAGAAUUUACAUUGCCAUAUAAAAAGAUACGGGGCAUUCAAGAGCAUAUUCAACCAAUUUGAUCAGACUUCCGCUGACACUCCAUUAACAUUUUUUCCAAAAUACUUCUCCCUCCGUCCCGAAAUGAAUGUCGCACUUCGGGUCUUGAGUUUCUUUUCAACAGUGUCGCAUUUUGGUUUAAAUCCCAACGCUACCCCUUCCGUGCAUUACUCCAUUGAGUGGCAAAAAGAAAAAGCAAGGAUGAUAAGAUGUGUGGGAUGCAUACUUUACAAAUGUGUCUAGCCAUUUUUUUGAGAAAAUAGCUUGCAGGGCCAUUGUUUGCAUUUGCAGUGAGACUCACGCAUAUUAGAUCCCUGGCUAAAUACAGCAGAUUGUGAUCGAUACAAUCUUGAAAUAUGCUAUUAGUUUUUUUUUUAACUUGGAAUAGGUUUCAAAAAUUCCAUUCACAGGAACAACUUUCUCUUCUUUUUUACAUAUAGUUUUUUUUUUCUCGAAAGAUUCUAAUUCCUGUGUUGUCCUGAAUUGUCAUUGCCUAUUUGAAAUCCCUCUACAAACGAAAAAACUCUUCAAGUUCGACACGCAAAACAAACCCAUACUCCCUCUCUUCUCUUUUCUGCCGACCAAGUCCUUUGUCGCCUGAAAAAGACAAUCGCUCCCUCCCCCUAUUUUUUUCCUCCUCCGACUCUUUCGACGAAAACUUGAUGGGAGACUGGAAUAUUAUUUGGAUAAACAUUACCAUUCUGGAGACGAAUGGUCGGUUUCAUUCGUGACUUCAUGAAUUUCAAUACUCCCCACUCGAACUUUAGUGUGGCCAUGUCUUUUUGGCGGAAUGUAUUUUCGGGCAGAAGAGAUGGGAGGCAUGCCGUGGAUGUUUAUCUUUAUGUUGAGAUUGAACCACAGCAAGUGGGAAUCAUGUACCUUACCGGUGACGAAGAAAUUGGUGUUCUCGGAUAGGAAACGCAUUGGGAAGACGUCAAGUGGAGAGUAAUAUCAAUGGUGGCAUUUCCUCUGAGCUGUUUGUUACGAAUAUGUAGGACGCUACCUCCUCCGAAAUUAUUCAGAUAUGUAGUGAUUCGGGCAGAGUUGACACGGAACAGCAGUCCCCUUGGACAGCCGAACAGAAUUCACGUGGGUCGCAUGGCCAGAAAUGACAUCUCCAAUGUUAAUGUCUUGAUAAAUAAUUUGCUACAGCUAGCUAACAUUGCUGGGCAUCACUUUCUCAUGACGUACCGUUUGAUUGGCGAGGAGCACUACCGAAUCUUUAGUUAGGGGCCGAAUGUUCAUAGUUUUCACGAUUUUUAGGACCAGAAUUUUCAAGAUUUUAUUUUCAUUGUGUCCAUAAUUUUUCACUACUAGUUCAACUUACAAAAGUUGAGUUCCCAACUUACAAAAGUAAAAUUAAAAGUUGGUACAACUAAACUAUAGCAAAAGAUUCCGACAAGACCCGGCCCUUCCUAUUCACUUACCCAGGUACUCGCCUCUAUAAGGAAAACAAAUCUAAACGGUGAGCUUUCGUCCCAUGAGGUUCCAAGAAAGUCAUGCAACAAUAAUAUCAUAUUCAUGCGACAUAACCAUAGUUCACAACCAUAAUGCAAGUUCACAUUGGGUACUCGACAAUUAAGAAUUUACAUUGCCAUAUAAAAGGAUACGGGGCGUUCAAGAGCAUAUUCAACCAAUUUGAUCAGAAUUCCGCUGACACUCCAUCCACAUUUUUUCCAAAAUACUACUCCCUCCGUCCCGAAAUGAAUGUCGCACUUCGGGUCUUGAGUUUCUUUUCAACAGUAUCGCAUUUUGGUCUAAAUUCCAGCGCUACCCCUUCGGUGCAUUACUCCGUUGAGUGGCAGAAAGAAAAAACAAGGAUGACAAGAUGUGUGGGACGCAUACUUUACAAAUGUGUCCAGCCAUUUUUUUGAGAAAGUAGCUUGCACGGCCAUUGUUUGCAUUUGCUGUGAGACUCACGCAUAUUAUAUCCCUGGCUAAAUACAGCAGAUUGUGAUCGAUACAAUCUUGAAAUAAGCUAUUAGUUUUUUUUUUAACUUGGAAUAGGUUUUAAAAAUUUCAUUCACAGGACCAACUUUCUCUUCUUUUUUUACAUAUAGUUUUUUUUUUCUCGAAAGAUUCUAAUUCCUGUGUUGUCUUGAAUUGUCAUUGCCUUUUUGAAAUCCCUCUAUAAACGAAAAAACUCUUCAUGUUCGACACGCAAAACUAACCCAUACUCCAUCUCUUCUCUUUUCUGCCGACCAAGCCCUUUGUCGCCUGAAAAAAUAGACAAUCGCUCCUUCUCCCUAUUUUCUUCCUCCUCCGACUCUUUCAACGAAAACUUGAUGGGAGAUUGGAAUACUAUUUGGAUAAACAUUACCAUUCUGGAGACGAAUGGUCGAUUUCAUUAAUGACUUGAUGAAUUCCAACACUCCCCACUCGAACUUUAGUCUGGCCAUGUCUUUUUGGCGGAAUGUAUUUUCGGGCAGAAGAGAUGGGAGGCUUGCCGUGGAUGUUUAUCUUUAUGUUGAGAUUCAACCACAGUAAGUGGGAAUCAUGUACCUUACCGGUGACGAAAAAGUUGGUGUUUUUGGAUCGAAAACGCAUUGGGAAGACGUCAAGUGGAGAGUAAUAUCAAUGGUGGCAUUUCCUCUGAGCUGUUUAUUACGAAUAUGUAGGACGCUACCUCCUCCGGAAUUAUUCAGAUAUGCAGUGAUUCGGGCAGAGUUGACACGGAACAGCAGUCCCCUUGGACAGCCGAACAGAAUUCACGUGGGUCGCAUGGCCAGAAAUGACAUCUCCAAUGUUAAUGUCUUGAUAACUAAUUUACUGCAGCUAGCUAACAUUGGUGGGCAUCACUUUCUCAUGACGUACCGUUUGAUUGGCGAGAAGCACUACCGAAUCUUUAGUCAGGGGCUGAAUGUUUAGAGUUUUCCCGAUUUUUAGGACCAGAAUUUUCAAGAUUUUAUUUCCAUUGUGUCCAUAAUUUUUCACUACUAGUUGAACUUACAAAAGUUGAGUUCCCAACUUACAAAAGCAAAACUAAAAGUUGGUACAACUAAACUACAGCAAAAGAUUCCGACAAGACCCGGCCCUUCCUAUUCACUUGCCCAGGUACUCGCCUCUAUAAGGAAAACAAAUCUAAACGGUGAGCUUUCGUCCCAUGAGGUUCCAAGAAAGUCAUGCAACAAUAAUAUCAUAUUCAUGCGACAUAACCAUAGAUCACAACCAUAAUGCAAGUUCACAUUGGGUACUCGACAAUUAAGAAAUUACAUUGCCAUAUAAAAGGAUACGGGGCGUUCAAGAGCAUAUUCAACCAAUUUGAUCAGAAUUCCGCUGACACUCCAUCAACAUUUUUUUCAAAAUACUACUCCCUCCGUCCCGAAAUGAAUGUCGCACUUCGGGUCUUGAGUUUCUUUUCAACAGUGUCGCAUUUUGGUCUAAGUUCCAGCGCUACCCCUUCGGUGCGUUACUCCAUUGAGUGGCAGAAAGAAAAAGCAAGGAUGACAAGAUGUGUGGGACCC